This is a small nuclear RNA of Apodemus sylvaticus (European woodmouse), 189 nucleotides long. RefSeq annotates it as U2 spliceosomal RNA. NCBI's taxonomy places the organism in Eukaryota, Metazoa, Chordata, Mammalia, Rodentia, Muridae. The record is from RefSeq and is a predicted model, not a curated record. The transcript has a single exon.
AUCGUUUCUCGGCCUUUUGGCUAAGAUCAAGUGUAGUAUUAAAUGCCGAGCAACAGUCAGAUACUAGAUCAGACAUUUGUAUAUAAAUAACAUUAUGAAUGUGAAACUUACUUUUGACUGUUGAUUACAUUGGAUUAAGAUAUAAGUUCCUGUGUGUUUGUGAGAGUGUACAUGCUGAGUGAUGGCCUG